GGAUUGGUGGUGGGGCCAGAUCGACGAUGAGGAGGGAUGGUUUCCUGCCAGCUUUGUGAGGGCAUCUAUAUGUGCUAAUUGCAGCAUCAGUGAAGAAAAG
Molecule: small RNA, 100 nt
Filed under: Pongo abelii (Sumatran orangutan)
Lineage: Eukaryota; Metazoa; Chordata; Mammalia; Primates; Hominidae
Description: processed transcript
Source: RNAcentral